Molecule: ribosomal RNA, 383 nt
Filed under: uncultured bacterium
Lineage: Bacteria
Description: bacterial SSU rRNA
Rfam family: Bacterial small subunit ribosomal RNA
Source: RNAcentral
AUUGAACGCUGGCGGCAUGCCUUACACAUGCAAGUCGAACGGCAGCGGACCUUCGGGUGCCGGCGAGUGGCGAACGGUGAGUAAUGCAUCGGAACGUGCCAUUGAGUGGGGGAUAACGUAGCGAAAGUUGCGCUAAUACCGCAUAUUCUGUGAGCAGGAAAGCAGGGGACCGCAAGGCCUUGCGCUCUUUGAGCGGCCGAUGUCAGAUUAGCUAGUUGGUGAGGUAACGGCUUACCAAGGCGACGAUCUGUAGCGGGUCUGAGAGGAUGAUCCGCCACACUGGAACUGAGACACGGUCCAGACUCCUACGGGAGGCAGCAGUGGGGAAUUUUGGACAAUGGGGGCAACCCUGAUCCAGCCAUGCCGCGUGAGUGAAGAAGGCC